Small nuclear RNA from Mus caroli (Ryukyu mouse), 64 nucleotides. RefSeq annotates it as U7 small nuclear RNA. The record is from RefSeq and is a predicted model, not a curated record. NCBI's taxonomy places the organism in Eukaryota, Metazoa, Chordata, Mammalia, Rodentia, Muridae.
AAUUUUUUAUAGAUCUUUUAGAAUUUUUUCUAAUAGGAUUUCUGACCUUGGUUGGAAAUCUUCA